RNAcentral lists this ribosomal RNA (312 nucleotides) under Triticum aestivum (bread wheat). Its description in RNAcentral is "partial small subunit ribosomal RNA". The record is from RNAcentral. Lineage: Eukaryota; Viridiplantae; Streptophyta; Magnoliopsida; Poales; Poaceae.
AUGUGUGGACGCCAAGCCGCGAAAGCGACGGCGAUGGGGUCGUGCCUUUACGGAGGUAGCAGCCGACUCGCUGUCUCGCGGCGGUGGUGGUGGUGGCAGUCGGGUGAUGGAGUGAUGGAGAUCUACCCGACCGAAAGCGCGGCGUUCCCCCUCGGGAGGUGGCGGCGGUGGCUCCAGGCGAUGUGGCGUUGUCUCGUCAGCCUGUGCAAGAGUCCGAGUCGCACUUGUCUUCCUCGACGUGGCGGGUUGGCGCCCCGGAUCCACGCAAGAUGGAGUAAAACGUGUGGAGCUGAUGAAAUGUUGCUUUUGUGA